RNAcentral lists this ribosomal RNA (282 nucleotides) under uncultured bacterium. RNAcentral's name for it is "partial 16S ribosomal RNA". It matches the Rfam family "Bacterial small subunit ribosomal RNA", at positions 560 to 841 of the family's 1533-position model. The record is from RNAcentral.
GUAAAGAGCAUGUAGGCGGCUUAAUAAGUCGAGCGUGAAAAUGCGGGGCUCAACCCCGUAUGGCGCUGGAAACUGUUAGGCUUGAGUGCAGGAGAGGAAAGGGGAAUUCCCAGUGUAGCGGUGAAAUGCGUAGAUAUUGGGAGGAACACCAGUGGCGAAGGCGCCUUUCUGGACUGUGUCUGACGCUGAGAUGCGAAAGCCAGGGUAGCGAACGGGAUUAGAUACCCCGGUAGUCCUGGCCGUAAACGAUGGGUACUAGGUGUAGGAGGUAUCGACCCCUUC